RNAcentral lists this transfer RNA (77 nucleotides) under Armatimonadota bacterium. RNAcentral describes it as "Armatimonadetes bacterium (soil metagenome) tRNA-Asp". It matches the Rfam family "tRNA". Rfam says of the family: Transfer RNA (tRNA) molecules are approximately 80 nucleotides in length. Their secondary structure includes four short double-helical elements and three loops (D, anti-codon, and T loops). RNAcentral also lists the same sequence under 1 other name. Lineage: Bacteria; Bacillati; Armatimonadota. The record is from RNAcentral.
GCGGGCGUAGCUCAGUUGGUUAGAGCGUCGGCCUGUCACGCCGAAGGUCGCGGGUUCAAGUCCCGUCGUCCGCGCCA